Molecule: non-coding RNA, 741 nt
Filed under: Abscondita chinensis
Lineage: Eukaryota; Metazoa; Arthropoda; Insecta; Coleoptera; Lampyridae
Source: RNAcentral
UUAAAGUUUUAUUUUAACUUAAAAUUUCAGUUUAUUGUUAAUUAAUAUGUAUAUAUUAUAUUAAAAAUUUAUUUGCAGUUUUUAAUUUUUAAAAAUUAUUUAAGUAAGCUUUAGUAAUUAAUUAUAGAUUUAAUAAAAUUUGUGCCAGCAAUUCCGGUUAUACAAAUAAUUCAAUUGAAAUUUAUUCCUUAAAAAUUAAUUUUUUUUAAUAUAUUUAUUAUUAAAAUUUUUAAGUGUAAUUUAAAUUUUAAUAUAAAUUAUUUAUUUAUAUUUUAAGUUAUUAAAUUUAAUAUUAAACUAGGAUUAGAUACCCUAUUAUUAUAAUUGUAAAUUUUAAAUACCAGAUUAGUAUUAGUUGUUUUCUUAAAAUUUAAAAAAUUUGGCGGUAUUAUAAUCUAUUCAGAGGAAGCUGUCCUGUAAUCGAUAAUGCACGAUUAGAAUUAGAUUUUUUUUCUUCUAUAUCAUUAUUUUUGAAUAUUUUAUAAGAAUUAUAAUUUUCAAAAAGUAUAUUUUAGUUAAUUUCAGAUCAAGGUGCAGUUAAUAGAAAACAACAAAUGGGUUAUUUUAAAUUUAUUUUCGGUUUAUUAUUUUGAAUAAUAUUAUUAAAUUGGAUUUGAUAGUAAUAUAUAUAAUUAUUAUAUGAUUUUAGCUCUAAAAUGUGUACAUAUUGCCCGUCGCUCUCAUUUAUUUGAAAAAAGUCGUAACAAAGUAGAUUUACUGGAAAGUGAAUCUAGUAUUAGU